RNAcentral lists this long non-coding RNA (996 nucleotides) under Gossypium raimondii (Peruvian cotton). RNAcentral describes it as "long non-coding RNA (GRAI_LNC007957)". The record is from RNAcentral. Lineage: Eukaryota; Viridiplantae; Streptophyta; Magnoliopsida; Malvales; Malvaceae.
UGGGGAAGAGGCCAAGGCCACCUAUGAAAAGAACCACAAGCAUGACAGAGAUCACUUUUGAUCUAAACACCACCGCCACCACCAACGCCGAACCUCCACCCUCUGAUCCACAUAACCCUUUUAACAACUACCCCAAACAGGCUUCCCCUUUCGGUGGCGCAGCACCUUCUGUAGCUGUUGCUGGCGGUGGUGGUGGACUUGAAGGGUUGGAUCAACGGUUGUUGGCGACGGUGUCACCUAGAGUUCAUAGAAGGCAUUCAGCUGAUUUUAUGGAAACACCUCAUUUCCUAAGGUCUUGCGGUCUUUGUAGACGUCGCCUUGUUCCUGGCCGUGAUAUCUACAUGUAUAGGUAUAUCUAUAUAUUUCAGUUUUAAGGUAUAUUUAAUCGGGAGAUUUUAAUUUUAAAAAAGAAGGAAUCUCAAAUCUCUAAAUCAUGUGGCAAACAAUUCACAUUCCAAGAAGUGUUUCUUAGGCUAAUUACUUUCUUAAAGAUUUUGAUUACUUUGGGGUCAAUUUGGGUUGAUUUCUUCUUCUUUUUUACCCUUUAAUCUAUUUGUUACUGCAUGCAUCCUGUUCUAUAUUUCUCUUCACCCCUUGGAAAUCCCUUUCCGGAAACUUAUAAAUUAUGAGGAAUUUUCAGGUUGCCAUAUUAACACCUUUUUUACCAUGUAUAGUAAUUACCAUUUGAGUCCCAUAAGUUUGUUGGGAAAUCCAGAUAAAAUUAAUUUCCUUUCUUAUUAAUUAUUACACUAUUACCAAUUAGUCUCCUUUCCUAUUAGUUCAUUGAUUAAGUUAUUUAUUUGUUGUAGGGGUGAUACAGCAUUUUGCAGCUUAGAGUGCAGGCAACAGCAGAUGAACCAAGAUGAAAAAAAGGAUAAAUGUUCAAUAGCAUCCAAGAAACAAGCCGCCGCCUCUCCUGCCGCCAGAUCCAGUGUCUCAACCAAAGGAGAGACGGUUGCCGCCGUAUAGAUAUUAAUCCCCGUGACCCAAGAAGGU